ACCUGGUUGAUCCUGGCAGUGGUCAUAUGCUUGUCUCUAGGACUAAGCCAUGGACGUAUAAGUGUAAGCGAUUUACAGUGAAACUGGGAAUGGCUCAUUAAAUCAGUAAUAGUCUCUUUGAUGGAAGCCGCUACAUGGAUAACCGUAGAAAAUCUAGAGCUAAUACACGCCAAGGAGUCAUGGCCUAGCAUUUUUGCUGGGGCGUGCGGUAUUUAUUAGAGGCCAAGCGAUGGCGCACUUGUGUGUCUUCUUUGGUGAGUCAUGAUAACUGUACGAAUCGAGGGCUUGUUCGCAAGCGUCGAUGGUUCACUCGAAUUUCUGCCCUAUCAACUUUCGAUGGUAAGAUAGAGGCUUACCAUGGUGGUUACGGGUGACGGCGAAUGGGGGUUCUAUUCCGGAGAGGGGGCCUGAGAAACGGCCACCAUUUCCAAGGAAGGCAGCAGGCGCGCAAAUUACCCAAUGGCGACACGCCGAGGUAGUGACGAACAAUAACGAUGGGACCCCCUUUGGGGGCCCCAAUUGGAAUGAGUACAAAGUACAAGCCUUAACGAGGAACAAUUGGAGGGCAAGUCUGGUGCCAGCAGCCGCGGUAAUUCCAGCUCCAUAGGCGUAUAUUAAAGCUGUUGCGGUUAAAAAGCUCGUAGUUGGAUUUGAGUCUAGUUGCGGCCGGGCUCAGGGCUUUGACUCUGGGGCGGGCGUGUAGACUGUAUGCGCGCGGGGAGGCGCAGGGAAUUUUCUCUGCGGACUCGUGUGGUUUACUUUGAACAAAUUAGAGUGUUUAAAGCAGGCAUUUUUGCCUUGAAUACAUUAGCAUGGAAUAACGAUUUUGACUGGGAGCGGAUGAUGUUGUCUUGUGACUCGCAGUAAUGAUGGAUAGGGACGGUCGGGGACAUUCGUAUUGCUCCGUCAGAGGUGAAAUUCUUAGAUGGAGGGAAGACGAGCUGAUGCGAAAGUCUUGUCAGGACGUUUUCUUUGAUCAGGAACGAAAGUUAGGGGAUCGAAGACGAUCAGAUAGUGUAGUCUUAACCAUAAACGAUGAC
This 1040-nucleotide ribosomal RNA is filed under the name uncultured Apusozoa. RNAcentral's name for it is "bacterial SSU rRNA". It matches the Rfam family "Eukaryotic small subunit ribosomal RNA", at positions 1 to 1043 of the family's 1831-position model. The record is from RNAcentral.